UAGUGAGUCGUGGCACACAAACUGAAAUUGUGAGAACAUCAACUCCUACUAUAGCGCACACCUGCCCACCACUCGACAAAUCAAUGUCACCUGUGCCACAGACAGUGUCUUCAAUCCCCUCGGCCGAGGCAGAAUCCCCUCCCGAGAAAGAGCUUUUUUCCGAGGAACAGCUUUUGUCUGUGGAAGUGUCACACAUCGAGAAAUGGCCCCUACCCAAGGAAGAGCCUGAAGAGGGUUCCAUUUUGGAAACUGAGCCAGGCUCUGAAAUCCAGCUACUCCCAGAAUUGGAACUUCUUCAAGAGGAGAGAUCUUCGGAAGCAGAACGUACAUACACAACGGACCCUUUCCCAGAUGUAGAGCCUCCCUCACAAAUAGAAUCGGCUUCUGAGACAGGACUGUUUUCUGAGCCACCCUCUCAGGCAGAUGAUGGGGACAUCACCUACUGUCCAUCGCAGGGUGAAAGCUUUGAAAGUGCCGACGAGACCAACCCCCACAAAGAGCGGAAGUACAUUGUGUACGAGAGAUCACUCCUACGUCUCUUCAAGUUCUGCAGCCUUUGCCACUGCCCUUGCAAAACACCGAUGAGAACGGAUGGCACUAAACUAACGGUGACUACUGAGUGCGCAAGUGAGCAUAUCAGGAACUGGACGAAUGAACCGGAGGUGGCUGGCAGGAGUGCGGGGAAUAUUGUCCUUUCCUCUGCUGUUCUCUUCAGUGGAGCGAACCCCACCGUCACGUUAAGAAUGCUGCGGCUCAUAAACCUCCAAGUGAUGUGUGACCGCACAUUCUACAGGUACCAGGAGGGGUACCUUUUGCCAGCUAUAGCUGAUGUAUGGAACACAGAACAGGAAAAGCUUCUAGAAAGCAUGAGGAGCGCAGGAGAAGUGCACCUGGCUGGUGAUGGGCGGUGUGAUUCGCCGGGCUACAGCGCAAAAUACUGUACAUACAGCUUCUACUGCAAUUCUCUCCACAAGAUUGUACACACGGAACAAGUGCAAGUUGGUGAGUGUGAUGAGGUGAAAUCCAGCUCGCAGAUGGAGAAGGUGGGCUUUGUCCGAGCCCUCGACUACCUGCAAGAUGAAGGCAUAAACAUCAUGUCCAUUACCACAGACCGGCACAGUGCCAUUAAAAAGGAAAUUGCCACCAACCACCAGACCAUCACACACUUUUUUGACAGUUGGCACAUGUCAAAAGGAAUCACGAAGAAGCUCACAGCAGCCAGUAAGCGACCUUCCAACAAAAAACUAAAAAGCUGGGUUCAGCCCACCAGCAACCAUCUCUACUGGUGUGCUGCGGUUGGUGAAGGAGAUGAACCAACGGUAUUGGAUUUGUGGCAUACGAUUAAGCGGCAUGUUGUGGAUCUUCAUGAUGGCCACGAAGGUCACCUCACUCAGUGUCUGCAUGGUCCCCUGACAAACAAAGAGUGGCUUAGCCAAGGAUCACCAGCCUAUGAAGCAUUUCUGAAAGUGGUGAUGGCACCAACAUUGUUGCGUGACCUCAAGAAAGUGUCACCAUCAUGCCAGACAUAUGGACUAGAGUCGUUUCACAGCGUCCUAAUUAAAUUUGCACCGAAGUCGCUUGCUUUUUCGUAUGAGGGAAUGCGUGCCCGUACCUACCUCGCCAUUUUGCACUUCAAUGAAAAUAGCAAGCGACUCCAGGCCCAAACCGCUGAGGGAGAAGACAGGUGGCAUGUGAAGGCCCAAAAAGCCCGGAAAGAUCACCUGGCAGCGUUCCCCCUCACAACGGAGCCAACGUACGAGUAUGUGGACACUUUGUUCGACGAAGUAUUGGAACGGCUCCAGCGUCUGCCAUCGUUCAGGGAAGCCAACGCUGAAUUCUCAACACUCCCCCCACCACCUCCACCCAUGAUUGCAAGGGUGCAACCGAGGCCCUCCAAACAAAACCUCGUAGCAGUCCACAAGUCACGGUUUGGGAAGAAUUAAGUUUGACACCAUCCGCGCCACUGCGGGCACUGAGCUGCGUGUCGAUUGCCGGCUAGCUUUGUUUGUGUCCUAAGUACUGCAAUCUAUUGAAGAGCUGCAUGUCAAAGUAGAAAAAAAGAAUGUGUGUAAUUGUUUGUCAGAUUCUUUUCUGGUUAUGUUGGGCAUUCUGCAGUGCAGCAUUCUUAAUCCUCGUUUUUUUUUUAAUCAUUGUAAAUAAUGUUUUUAUGUAUGACAUAUUCGAACAUGCAGUUAUUUUGUGCUGACAUAAAUUUGUUCCAGGUGAUGUAUAAUGUAAAGGGCUGUGUAUCUCUUCAGUGCAAUGUGUGUUCUAUGUUCAUGGGUGCUGUACUAAAGGUUCUUAGAAGUUAAUAC
RNA transcript from Ixodes scapularis (black-legged tick), 2315 nucleotides. RefSeq lists it as uncharacterized. The record is from RefSeq and is a predicted model, not a curated record. Lineage: Eukaryota; Metazoa; Arthropoda; Arachnida; Ixodida; Ixodidae. The transcript is spliced from 8 exons.